Molecule: ribosomal RNA, 498 nt
Filed under: uncultured bacterium
Lineage: Bacteria
Description: partial 16S ribosomal RNA
Rfam family: Bacterial small subunit ribosomal RNA
Source: RNAcentral
GAUGAACGCUGGCGGCGUGCCUAAUACAUGCAAGUCGAGCGAACAGAUGAGGAGCUUGCUCCUCUGACGUUAGCGGCGGACGGGUGAGUAACACGUGGAUAACCUACCUAUAAGACUGGGAUAACUUCGGGAAACCGGAGCUAAUACCGGAUAAUAUAUUGAACCGCAUGGUUCAAUAGUGAAAGACGGUUUUGCUGUCACUUAUCGAUGGAUCCGCGCCGCAUUAGCUAGUUGGUAAGGUAACGGCUUACCAAGGCAACGAUGCGUAGCCGACCUGAGAGGGUGAUCGGCCACACUGGAACUGAGACACGGUCCAGACUCCUACGGGAGGCAGCAGUAGGGAAUCUUCCGCAAUGGGCGAAAGCCUGACGGAGCAACGCCGCGUGAGUGAUGAAGGUCUUCGGAUCGUAAAACUCUGUUAUUAGGGAAGAACAAAUGUGUAAGUAACUAUGCACGUCUUGACGGUACCUAAUCAGAAAGCCACGGCUAACUACGUGC